UCUUCGUGAAUGAUUAUCAAAGAUAAAAAUGUAAUUUCAUGCUAACUCUAUCAAAAAUAAUAUUAAGAAAAUGAAAUAGUUUUAACAUCUAACAUAAAUUUACCAAAGAAAAAUAAUUCUAGAAACAUUUCUAGUUAUUGCAAGUCUAUUUUACUGUUACUUUCAUUAAUUCCUAAUAUUUUGUAUAUUCAAAAUGUGCUUAAUAACUUUAUUAGGCUUAUUUCACUACAAACAAAGUCUAGCUCUUGUUUAAGGGAAACAAAAAUAUGAUUUGGAGAACACAACAAUAUCAUACCCACCGUGUACGAAGACCUUAUCCCUCCCUACGAGGUAGAGAGGGUGUCUCCGAUAGACCACCCAAAAAGACCUUACCCCUCCCUACGAGGUAGAGAGAUUGUCUCCUAUAGACUUGCCAAAAAAACAC
Solanum lycopersicum (tomato) is the source of this 424-nucleotide non-coding RNA. The record is from RefSeq and is a predicted model, not a curated record. Lineage: Eukaryota; Viridiplantae; Streptophyta; Magnoliopsida; Solanales; Solanaceae.